CGGGCAACAGCGUCCUAGAGACGCCGAGUGGGCUGGGCUUCUGCGGCCUCGGGCCCUGGGGUCCGCGCUUAGAAGUGCGUCGGCGCUCCGAAGGGGCCCAGCGAGGCGGAGGGUUGAGAAAGGGCCGGGCUGUCCACCUCUUCCUGUGCAGAGAUCUCUACAGCGCCCAUGCUGUGACCCCUGCAGCUGAGUGGCACAUGGAGACAGAACCAGCUCCAGGAGGGUGCUCAGGAGUCUGGCGCCCGCCCAGAGCAGGAAUCCAGUGGGACGCCAUUGGCUGUUAACCAGACAGUCGCUUUAAUAAAGCCUCUUUACAGGUAUCGAGUGAAUGUUUAAGGGUUUUAACGUGCAAAAUGGCAGUUGUACCAGAUUGGCAUACUUUGUAUCCUCACACACAAAAAUUCACGCAUUUCAGACCCCACUCUUCACCAUGUAGAGUGUAUUCAAGGAAUGGUUUCCAGAAUGUGUUCAGACC
Molecule: long non-coding RNA, 475 nt
Organism: Orcinus orca (killer whale)
Lineage: Eukaryota; Metazoa; Chordata; Mammalia; Artiodactyla; Delphinidae
Exons: 3
Source: RefSeq, a predicted model, not a curated record